GCCUGUUUAUCAAAAACAUGUCUUUAUGAAGUUAAAUAAAGUCUAUCCUGCCCACUGAAAUUUAUUUGAAGGGCCGCAGUAAUUUGACUGUGCAAAGGUAGCAUAAUCAUUAGUUUUUUAAUUGAAGGCUUGUAUGAAUGGUUGGACAAGAAUUAAACUGUCUUUAUUUAUGAAAUUGAAUUUUACUUUUGAGUGAAAAGGCUUAAAUGAAUUUAAGGGACGAUAAGACCCUAUAAAUCUUUAUAAAAUUGAUUUUAAUUUAUUAAAUAUUUAGUUAAAAUUUAAAUUAAAAUCUAAUUAUUUUACUGGGGCGGUAUUAAUAUAAAAAACAAACUGUUAAAUAAAUUUACAAGUUAAUUGAAAUAAAAAUUAAAAGGUCUUUAUUAAAAAUAAAUAGUUUAAGUUACUUUAGGGAUAACAGCAUAAUCUUUUUAGAGAGUUCUUAUCGAAAAAAAGGUUUGUGACCUCGAUGUUGAAUUAAAAUUUUCUUUAUAAUGAAGCAGUUAUAAAAGAUAGUCUGUUCGACUAUUAAAAUUUUACAUGAUUUGAGUUCAGACCGGCGUGAGCCAGGUUG
This 574-nucleotide ribosomal RNA is filed under the name Euceramus sp. KC6974/ULLZ10235. RNAcentral describes it as "partial 16S ribosomal RNA". It matches the Rfam family "Bacterial large subunit ribosomal RNA", at positions 1798 to 2633 of the family's 2925-position model. Lineage: Eukaryota; Metazoa; Arthropoda; Malacostraca; Decapoda; Porcellanidae. The record is from RNAcentral.